This 153-nucleotide small nucleolar RNA is filed under the name Capsella rubella. Its description in RNAcentral is "Small nucleolar RNA snoR2/U65". It matches the Rfam family "Small nucleolar RNA snoR2/U65". The record is from Rfam by way of RNAcentral. Lineage: Eukaryota; Viridiplantae; Streptophyta; Magnoliopsida; Brassicales; Brassicaceae.
UGUCCGAUGCCACGUCGACGGUAGCUUUUUAUAGCUAUGAUCCUCGAUGCUACAUUGGACAUAUACAAAUGUACGUGUUUCGCUUACUGAUAGGAACCUGUGGAUCUUUUUUAUUUUUAUACGAUCCACGGAGCCAUUUCGGCGAUUACAUUA